GGCAGCAACCCAACAACAAAUUGCCCUAUUGGUCUGAAAAUUUCAGAGCAGAUAGAUCUUGACUUAAUGAAGAAUUUUAUUCACAGCAAAUUUGCUCAAAAUGCUUUGGUUUCAGAGAUAUGAGACAAAAACUGCAUUUUACCCUAGUACUAUUAUUAGCCAUGUUGGCCAUCUUGGUUCGCGGGCGGGUCAUCAGACACAUUUUCAGCUCACCUGGCCAAAUGAUGAUUGUGGCCAAGUUUGGUUUAAUUUGGCCCAGGAGUUUCAGAGGAGAAGAUUUUUGUAAAAUUUAAUGUUGACGGACGACGACAGACGUCAAGUGAUGAGAAAAUCUCACUUGGCCCUUCAGGCCAGGUGAGCUAAAAAAUGAAAUGACUGUUUAUGAAGUAAUAAAUGAUGGUAUUAAAAUAAACAAGUCAUUAUAAAUAUACAGUUAAAAAGAAUUAUAUCUAACAAAUAGGUAAUCACAAGGCCAAACAAUGGUCAAAUAAAAUUAGGUUCUGUCUGUUUAUCUAUAUAUAUUUUACUUAUGAUAUCUGAUAACAAUAUAUAAUCAGCUACAUAUGAUUUGGUUCAGUAGAUGACCUUAUGACCUUUGAACUCCAGAAACAUUCUUUUCAUAAGAAAUCUCUGAUAUUCGAUUAUUCUAUAAUAUAGGGUUAUUGCAUGAAUAUUGGGGAAUAUUGUC
RNAcentral lists this long non-coding RNA (688 nucleotides) under Mytilus galloprovincialis (Mediterranean mussel). Lineage: Eukaryota; Metazoa; Mollusca; Bivalvia; Mytilida; Mytilidae. The record is from RNAcentral.